Molecule: ribosomal RNA, 207 nt
Filed under: uncultured bacterium
Lineage: Bacteria
Description: partial 16S ribosomal RNA
Rfam family: Bacterial small subunit ribosomal RNA
Source: RNAcentral
UGCGUAGGUGGUUGUUUAAGUCUGUCGUGAAAGCCCUGGGCUCAACCUGGGAAUUGCGAUGGAUACUGGGCGACUAGAAUGUGGUAGAGGGUGGCGGAAUUCCCGGUGUAGCAGUGAAAUGCGUAGAGAUCGGGAGGAACAUCCGUGGCGAAGGCGGCCACCUGGACCAACAUUGACACUGAGGCACGAAAGCGUGGGGAGCAAACA